Long non-coding RNA from Brassica napus (rape), 1133 nucleotides. RefSeq lists it as uncharacterized. The record is from RefSeq and is a predicted model, not a curated record. Lineage: Eukaryota; Viridiplantae; Streptophyta; Magnoliopsida; Brassicales; Brassicaceae. The transcript is spliced from 2 exons.
AAUGUACGUAUUCCGAACAAUGAUGGUAUGGUAUACUUAUUAUUAUUUUGUUUUCAAAUUCUUAAUGAAUAAAUUAAAGAAAAAUAAUAUUUUAAUAGAAAUAUUUUAUUUUCUUGUAUGAAUAUUGUAAGGGAUAAUGUAUCUCAUGAAGGAACAGAAUGAUCAAUCUUUUUUCCAGUGUCAUUUCGAUUAUGGUUGAUUUUUUACAUUCAAACCAUGCAGUUGUAGUGGUGGUUUAGCUUAGGUUUGUUUAGCUAAGUUUUUUAAAGGUAAAAUGUUAAGAUUUUCUAGCUAAAUUUUUGUUGAUGGUUUUCUUUUUCAAUAAUAACAUUAUUGGUUUAAAAUCAUUGAUUAAUGAUAACACAUACAUUAUUUUUAUAAAAAUUUAUUAUUUUUAAUUAACUUAUUACUUAGAAAUAGGAAAAACUAAAAUAAGUAAACCAUCCAAUGAAUGCAUAACCAAUUUAGCAAUUUAUCUAUAAAAUUCAAUGAAUAUCUAAGUAAUAAAAGGCAAAAUGAGAAAAGAGACAAAAAACAUAAUUUAUUUAAGAUAUUAUGAAGUAUUCAUAAGACUUUUAAUUACAUUUGUUAAUGUAUAGAUUACUUACACUAUUUUAAAGAUUUAUAUUAAUUAAUUUAUUUAUUUUUAUUAAAAGAAUAAUCUUUUAUGAUUUAUAUUUUAGAUACUAGAGUACUAAGGUUGCUCUUACAUAAUUUUAUAUAUAUAAUGUCUCAGCUGUACGUCCCUAGAAAAUACAACCAUCAAUUAGAAAACAAACACAUCAUUAAUUAGAAGAGUAUUAGGAUUAUGUCAUCAUCACAUCUUGCUAUCAUGUGUCUCAUCAUGAUUUCUCUUGUUCCUCUGCAUCAAUUGGGAAAUGCAGAUGGUUUAGAAUUCGACAGAAAAUGCGUCCGUCUCCUUGGAUGUACCGGAAGACGUUGUAUUUGCUGUAACAACGCACCGGAAAUAUUAAAAUGUUAUGAUACACAAGCAGCAUGCAUGGCUCAUUGCACGAAUCCAACUAUUUGAGUGGCUUAAAUGUUAAAAAAAAAAUAAAAAAUAACCAUGUAUCUCAAUAAAUAUAAUAUAUAUAUUAUAAAAUAAAGAUGUUAAUAAAAUUUUACUUUGGGUA